Molecule: ribosomal RNA, 770 nt
Filed under: uncultured bacterium
Lineage: Bacteria
Description: bacterial SSU rRNA
Rfam family: Bacterial small subunit ribosomal RNA
Source: RNAcentral
AGAGUUUGAUCCUGGCUCAGAUUGAACGCUGGCGGCAUGCUUUACACAUGCAAGUCGAACGGUAACAGGUCUUCGGAUGCUGACGAGUGGCGAACGGGUGAGUAAUACAUCGGAACGUGCCUAGUUGUGGGGGAUAACUACUCGAAAGAGUAGCUAAUACCGCAUGAGAUCUACGGAUGAAAGCAGGGGACCUUCGGGCCUUGUGCUACUAGAGCGGCUGAUGGCAGAUUAGGUAGUUGGUGGGGUAAAGGCUUACCAAGCCUGCGAUCUGUAGCUGGUCUGAGAGGACGACCAACCACACUGGGACUGAGACACGGCCCAGACUCCUACGGGAGGCAGCAGUGGGGAAUUUUGGACAAUGGGCGAAAGCCUGAUCCAGCAAUGCCGCGUGCAGGAUGAAGGCCCUCGGGUUGUAAACUGCUUUUGUACGGAACGAAAAGCCUGGGGCUAAUAUCCCCGGGUCAUGACGGUACCGUAAGAAUAAGCACCGGCUAACUACGUGCCAGCAGCCGCGGUAAUACGUAGGGUGCAAGCGUUAAUCGGAAUUACUGGGCGUAAAGCGUGCGCAGGCGGUUUUGUAAGACAGUGGUGAAAUCCCCGGGCUCAACCUGGGAACUGCCAUUGUGACUGCAAGGCUAGAGUGCGGCAGAGGGGGAUGGAAUUCCGCGUGUAGCAGUGAAAUGCGUAGAUAUGCGGAGGAACACCGAUGGCGAAAGCAAUCCCCUGGGCCUGCACUGACGCUCAUGCACGAAAGCGUGGGGAGCAAACAG